This 548-nucleotide ribosomal RNA is filed under the name uncultured bacterium. RNAcentral's name for it is "bacterial SSU rRNA". It matches the Rfam family "Bacterial small subunit ribosomal RNA", at positions 355 to 896 of the family's 1533-position model. The record is from RNAcentral.
UGGGGAAUAUUGGACAAUGGGGGCAACCCUGAUCCAGCAAUGCCGCGUGUGUGAAGAAGGCCUUCGGGUUGUAAAGCACUUUCGGUGGGGACAAACAAGGCGGAGCUAACAUCUCCGUCCCUGAUGGUACCCAAAGAAGAAGCACCGGCUAACUCUGUGCCAGCAGCCGCGGUAAUACAGAGGGUGCAAGCGUUAAUCGGAAUUACUGGGCGUAAAGCGUGCGUAGGUGGUUUGUUAAGUCAGGUGUGAAAUCCCGGGGCUCAACCUCGAAAUGGCGCUUGAUACUGGCAGACUCGAGUGUGGUAGAGGAUAGUGGAAUUCCCGGUGUAGCGGUGAAAUGCGUAGAUAUCGGGAGGAACAUCAGUGGCGAAGGCGGCUAUCUGGACCAACACUGACACUGAGGUACGAAAGCGUGGGUAGCAAACAGGAUUAGAUACCCUGGUAGUCCACGCCCUAAACGAUGGGUACUAGACGUCGGGAAGCUUGUCUUCUUGGUGUCGCAGCUAACGCAAUAAGUACCCCGCCUGGGGAGUACGGUCGCAAGAUUA